UGGGGAAUAUUGCACAAUGGGCGAAAGCCUGAUCCAGCAAUGCCGCGUGUGUGAAGAAGGCCUUCGGGUUGUAAAGCACUUUUGUCCGGAAAGAAAUCCUUGGCUCUAAUACAGUCGGGGGAUGACGGUACCGGAAGAAUAAGCACCGGCUAACUACGUGCCAGCAGCCGCGGUAAUACGUAGGGUGCAAGCGUUAAUCGGAAUUACUGGGCGUAAAGCGUGCGCAGGCGGUUUGCUAAGACCGAUGUGAAAUCCCCGGGCUCAACCUGGGAACUGCAUUGGUGACUGGCAGGCUAGAGUAUGGCAGAGGGGGGUAGAAUUCCACGUGUAGCAGUGAAAUGCGUAGAGAUGUGGAGGAAUACCGAUGGCGAAGGCAGCCCCCUGGGCCAAUACUGACGCUCAUGCACGAAAAGCGUGGGGAGCAAAACAGGAUUAGAUACCCUGGUAGUCCACGCCCUAAAACGAUGUCAACUAGUUGUUGGGGAUUCAUUUCCUUAGUAACGUAGCUAACGCGUGAAGUUGACCGCCUGGGGAGUACGGUCGCAAGAUUAAAAACUCAAAUGAAUUGACGGGGUCAUAGCUGUUUCCU
This 589-nucleotide ribosomal RNA is filed under the name uncultured bacterium. RNAcentral describes it as "partial 16S ribosomal RNA". It matches the Rfam family "Bacterial small subunit ribosomal RNA", at positions 355 to 1375 of the family's 1533-position model. The record is from RNAcentral.